RNAcentral lists this ribosomal RNA (460 nucleotides) under uncultured bacterium. Its description in RNAcentral is "partial 16S ribosomal RNA". It matches the Rfam family "Bacterial small subunit ribosomal RNA", at positions 338 to 795 of the family's 1533-position model. The record is from RNAcentral.
CCUACGGGAGGCAGCAGUGAGGAAUAUUGGUCAAUGGGCGCGAGCCUGAACCAGCCAAGUCGCGUGAGGGAGGACGGCCCUACGGGUUGUAAACCUCUUUUGCCGGGGAGCAACGGGCGUCACGUGUGGCGCCCCUGAGAGUACCCGGAGAAAAAGCCUCGGCUAACUCCGUGCCAGCAGCCGCGGUAAUACGGAGGAUGCGAGCGUUAUCCGGAUUUAUUGGGGUUAAAGGGUGCGUAGGCGGCUCGUUAAGUCAGGGGUCAAAUUGAGGGGCUCAACCCCUUCCCGCCAUUGAAACUGGCGCUCUUGAGUGGAAGAGAAGUAUGCGGAAUGCGUGGUGUAGCGGUGAAAUGCAUAGAUAUCACGCAGAACCCCGAUUGCGAAGGCAGCAUGCCGGCUUCCGACUGACGCUGAAGCACGAAAGCGUGGGGAUCGAACAGGAUUAGAUACCCUUGUAGUC